GGUUAAGCGACUAAGCGUACACGGUGGAUGCCCUGGCAGUCAGAGGCGAUGAAGGACGUGCUAAUCUGCGAAAAGCGUCGGUAAGGUGAUAUGAACCGUUACAGCCGGCGAUGUCCGAAUGGGGAAACCCAGUGCAAUUCGUUGCACUAUCGUUAACUGAAUACAUAGGUUAACGAGGCGAACCGGGGGAACUGAAACAUCUAAGUACCCCGAGGAAAAGAAAUCAACCGAGAUUCCCCCAGUAGCGGCGAGCGAACGGGGAGCAGCCCAGAGUCUGAAUCAGCUUGUGUGUUAGUGGAACGGUCUGGAAAGUCCGACGGUACAGGGUGAUAGUCCCGUACACCAAAAUGCACAGGUUGUGAACUCGAAGAGUAGGGCGGGACACGUGGUAUCCUGUCUGAAUAUGGGGGGACCAUCCUCCAAGGCUAAAUACU
RNAcentral lists this ribosomal RNA (434 nucleotides) under Klebsiella pneumoniae. RNAcentral's name for it is "partial 23S ribosomal RNA". It matches the Rfam family "Bacterial large subunit ribosomal RNA", at positions 1 to 474 of the family's 2925-position model. RNAcentral also lists the same sequence under 3 other names. Lineage: Bacteria; Pseudomonadati; Pseudomonadota; Gammaproteobacteria; Enterobacterales; Enterobacteriaceae. The record is from RNAcentral.